GGGAGGGAUCUCGUGGUUGUAUGG
RNAcentral lists this non-coding RNA (24 nucleotides) under Arabidopsis thaliana (thale cress). Lineage: Eukaryota; Viridiplantae; Streptophyta; Magnoliopsida; Brassicales; Brassicaceae. The record is from RNAcentral.